AUGCGGGCUAGGCCGGGAAGGUAGCAGUCUCCUGCCUCACAAACCUGCUUUAGGUGAGGCCGAAGCUUGAAGGGCGGCUUUUCGUUUAAAAGCCGGUCUUGGACUGGACGAAGAAGUCCUGUCCUGUUGGGUGCCUGUAAUAGGAACGGGUGAGGCGGGGAACCGAGCAGCCAUAACUAGUAUUGGUCAUGCUUUCAGGAGUGCGGGAUUGAGAAAAGCUCAAGAGCAACCGGAAUUUGAAUGAAAAAUCCACCUUCUUGCAUGCCCGCAC
This 271-nucleotide signal recognition particle RNA is filed under the name Candidatus Woesearchaeota archaeon. RNAcentral's name for it is "signal recognition particle sRNA". It matches the Rfam family "Archaeal signal recognition particle RNA". Lineage: Archaea; Nanobdellati; Candidatus Woesearchaeota. The record is from RNAcentral.